Scylla paramamosain (green mud crab) is the source of this 3409-nucleotide long non-coding RNA. RefSeq lists it as uncharacterized. The record is from RefSeq and is a predicted model, not a curated record. The transcript has 4 exons. Lineage: Eukaryota; Metazoa; Arthropoda; Malacostraca; Decapoda; Portunidae.
AGAGAGAGAGAGAGAGAGAGAGAGAGAGAGAGAGAGAGGUAUAAGUCCCCGCAGACAGUGAUGAAUUGCUUGUAUAUCUUGAAGUGAACAAAGUUUUCAAAUUACACAAAACUUUCCAAAACAUUAAAAGAAAACAAGAACAAUACAAGAAUUUCAAGCGAAUAUUAAAGAGAAAGAGAGAAAGGGAGAGAAAGGAAGAGAGGGAAAGGAGAAGAGGGAAGGCUUUAUAAGUUUCGGGGAGGAGGAGGAGGAGGAGAAGAGGAGGAGGAGGAAGAGGAAGAGGAGGGAGGUCGUUCGGUCGGAGGAAGGUGGGAGUGUAAGAUUGAUAGCUUCGGUCUCUUUAAAAAGGAGAAAUUUAGGAAAAGUCGGAGGCUACACACACAUCUGUACGUGAUAUUCCUGUUAGUUUAUUUCUUUGGUGGUUGUUUUUCUUCUGUUUUAAUAUUUUCUCUAUUGUUUAUUUAUGUUUUGUCCCUUGUUUCUUUGUUCGAUGGUAAUUUAGUUAUUUAUUUUUUUGUAGAACGUCAGUAAAACAUAAAGGAAAAUCUGCCCUCCGUCCUGUAAUAUUUGGGAAAAUGUUAGGCUUUGUAGGAUAUCUCGUCUUACCUCUCGCGCUCCCUCCUCCCUAGGCAUUGAAAAAGUGCGGGAAAUUUGAAGGUUUAUAAAUGCACUGGUGUGUGUAUGUGUGUGUGAGUGUUAUUGCUAGUUAUCUCUCUCUCUCUGUCAGUAGUUGCACAGGUCUUCAAGGGUAUUUUUACGGUUUUAGUGACAGAUUAACAAAAUUUCUACAUUAAUAACAGGAGAAACACCAUUGAAAACCCUGAUAAUCAUCUUUAUAGCUUUGUAAAACAGUCGUGAGGAGAGAGAGAGAGAGAGAGAGAGAGAGAGAGAGAGAGAGAGAGAGAGAGAGAGAGAGAGUAGGAACAUUUCAGUUGAGCCUAUUCCGCCCUGGUUCGUGUUUGCUACGGUGACACGGUGCCGCACUGAGUGAAGAUUGCGUUCAUAAUCACUUAUCAGGGGUGGAGUGGGGAAAGGAGAGUCAGGAAGUGAGGAUAUUUAUAUUAUUUGACAUAUUAUUUGAUAGCAUGUCAAGUUUUGUGUGUGUGUGUGUAUGUGUGUGUGUGUUGGAUCAGUGACAGGUGGCGCUGGGGAGUUACCACGGCGAGCGGCUGGCUGGCUGGCUGCAGUGUUUUGGUCAGCACUGGUCAAUCUUGCCCUACACGCUCUAUUAACCAGUGUUUCCGUCUUCCCGACACCUUCUUCCUGCACCAAGCACCGUCAAGCAUCACCAGAAAGGCACGAGUACGUAAGCUAUCCAACAUCAGAACAGUAUAUGAAUAUGGCAAAUGCUGUUUUGACAUCAUUUCCUGCCAUCCUGAGAAACAGUGAUCUCGAGGAGCAUGAAUUGCAGCUGCAAUGGAAAUUGCGCAUCCAGCGCAAGUUUCAGAAUUCAAGAAAGAGGCAGGAUUCCUCAGUGACUGAGGUGACGUCAAGGAAAAAGAAGAUCCCUUGCAUAGCGCCAAAAGAGACUACGUGUCCACUGAUGUAUGGAGUAAAGGCUUACCUUCCACCAAGGCCCCAUUCAGAAGAUGAUGAGUCAUUAGAGAGACAUAGACAGUGGCUUGCUCUACAUUGGAUGAAGAAAGAUCCCGAGUUAGAUAAGAUAAUCAAGGAGUUCCUGAGAUUAGAACCACAAGCGGAUGAACCAGACCCAAGAGUAGCAGUUUUGAAAGGGCUGGAGAAAUAUAGGCUCCCAAUAAUUGCCAUUCUCAAAAAAAGAAAAGCAGUUCCUCUGUAUAUGGAAACCUUACUUGAACUCUAUGACCACGAUGAAAGUCAAUGCGAGUAAUGUCUUGUUCAAUUUGUUCAUUUCAGUAGCUGGCAGCAAUUUAAUAUAUGUAUCUUUUCAUCAUUAGCAAUGCAUCUUUCACUUUUUAUAAGCCUAGAAUUCAUGAAACUAUGCUGCAUGUAAAAACCAAACAUUGUAUUAAGCAUGACCUAUUUAACUGUAAUGCUUGCACCAAUUUCUAUAAAGGUACUAAUUUAAUUGUUAAAUUCUUGCUCUUCUAUCAAAUUUUUGGCUGAGUGCUAUGGCUAAAUAAUUGUUUGCAGCAUAAGUGAUGUUAAAGAUUUUAAUAGGUGUAAAGCAUCUCUCUCUCUCUCUCUCUCUCUCUCUCUCUCUCUCUCUCUCUCUCUCUCUCUCUCUCUCUCUCUCUCUCUCUCGUAAGGAAAGACAUUAUUUCUAGUGUAAAUAAACCCAAUAGGUUGUCCAAUUUGAAAUUUAAAAUGUAAAUAUUAUCAAUCUUUUUAGAAAUGUUAGCUGCAUCCUCUUCCCUUGCAGUCCAAUAAGACAGGUCACUAAUUUGUGUGGAGAUAGAAUUCUUGGAGUCACCUUUGCCGGCACUAGCGCAAGUGCAAACAGUCUGAUAAAGGUUUCUUCCAUGGUUGUGAUGAAGUUCAGGACUUCUCACACUGUUUUGGUGGAUAUGAUGAGAAGAAUUGGGAGUUCAGAACAUCAGUGCGUUAUGUUAUGGCAUGUAGGUUCGGCUGGGGUUUUCUUUCUUUCUUUCUUUUUUUUUUUCGAUCAGUACUCAUCAUAUUCUUACGAGGACUUGCUAAACAAAGCAUUAUUGCAUUAUGAUAUUACCCAAAUAGUGUCUCAAGUAAAAAACAUAACCGCAUACUCGUACAAAAGAUUUGCUGCUGUGACACAAAGGACAAAAAUCAUUAGUAUACUGGUCGUUCUGAGCAUUCAAUCAAAAUGCUUGUCAUUCAUAUAAUUAGUAGAACCAUUGAGGAGCUUUAUUUUUGUUAAUUCUUAUGUGAUAAAGCAAUAAUUACAGGAGACUUUUAAAAGAUUGGUACUCAAAUUAGUGGACUGUCUUAUUGGAUGUGACCAUAUCUUCACUUUUUCCUUACACAGUUAAUUUUCUUUUGUUUAUUUGAUUUACUUAUUAUCAUAUUUAUUUAUAUAUUUAUUUAUUUGCACCAGAUGCUUGCUUAGUUAUAUUGGGGUUACUUCAUCUGCUUGGAGAGAGGAAAGACUCCAUUUUUACUAAGGUACCAGAAGAAGAACUAAGAACAGGGCAGUCUAGUGUGUAUUUGAUGGUGCACCUGUAGCUGAACCAACAUGUAUUUCUAUGGCUGUAGUCUCAUUGGUAGCAGGGCUUUGUGUUUAAUAUUGAACACCCAAAAAAUUGUGAACAUUUCCUCCGUUUCACAACAUCCCAUCUCUUAGGUAUCAAGUAUGACAAAGGUAACACUUCAAAAACAAGAUCUCUACUUGUAAAACUCAAUGAAGUAAAGACAGAAUUGAGCUACAAAAAUGUGUAAAUCUGCUUCCAAAUAUAUUCAACUCCACACACAAUGUCUCUCUCUCUCUCUCUCUCUCUCUCUCUCUCUCUCUCUC